Molecule: long non-coding RNA, 3499 nt
Filed under: Gallus gallus (chicken)
Lineage: Eukaryota; Metazoa; Chordata; Aves; Galliformes; Phasianidae
Description: lncRNA (ENSGALG00010009785.1)
Source: RNAcentral
GUCACGUGACACCGCCGGGGGAAACCAACGUGCGAUGAGGUCACGUGACACCAACGGGGGAGGGGGCGCUGUGACAGCGUCACGUGACACCGCCGGGGACACCAAUGUGCGACGAGGUCACGUGACACCACCGGGUUUGGGGGGUGGGGGCUGUGACAGCGUCACGUGACACCGCCGGGGGGACCAACGUGUGAUAAAGUCACGUGAUACCGCCGGGGGACACCAAUAUGCGAUGAGGUCACGUGACACCGCCGGGGGACACCAAUGUGUCACCUCCGGACGUCGCUGUGCCCCAUAGCGCUGUCACUGUGCCCCAUAGCGCUGUCACUGAGCCCCAUAGCGCUGCCACUGUGCCCCAUAGCGCUGUCACUGCGCCCCAUAGCGCCGCCACUGCGCCCCAUAGAGCCAUCCCUGUGCCCCAUAGCGCCAUCCCUGUGCCCCAUAGCGCCGGCACUGUGCCCCAUAGCGCUGCCACUGUGCCCCAUAGCGCUGGCACUGCGCCCCAUAGCGCUGCCACUGUGCCCCAUAGCACCACCGCUGUGCCCCAUAGAGCCAUCCCUGUGCCCCAUAGCACUGCCACUGCGCCCCAUAGCGCCGCCACUGUGCCCCAUAGAGCCAUCCCUGUGCCCCAUAGCGCUGCCGCUGUGCCCCAUAGAGCCAUCCCUGUGCCCCAUAGCGCUGUCCCUGUGCCCCAUAGAGCCAUCCCUGGGCCCCAUAGCGAGACCCCUGUGCCCCAUAGCGCUGUCACUGUGCCCCAUAGCGCUGCCACUGUGCCCCAUAGAGCCACCGCUGUGCCCCAUAGCGCUGCCACUGCGCCCCAUAGCACCACCGCUGUGCCCCAUAGAGCCAUCACUGUGCCCCAUAGUGCUGUCACUGCGCCCCAUAGUGCUGCCACUGUGCCCCAUAGCGCUGCCACUGUGCCCCAUAGCACCACCGCUGUGCCCCAUAGAGCCAUCCCUGUGCCCCAUAGCGCCGUCACUGUGCCCCAUAGCGCUGCCACUGUGCCCCAUAGCGCCGCCACUGUGCCCCAUAGCGCUGCCACUGUGCCCCAUAGCGCUGCCACUGUGCCCCAUAGCACCACCGCUGUGCCCCAUAGAGCCAUCCCUGUGCCCCAUAGAGCCACCGCUGUGCCCCAUAGAGCCAUCCCUGUGCCCCAUAGCACUGCCACUGCUCCCCAUAGCGCUGCCACUGUGCCCCAUAGAGCCAUCCCUGUGCCCCAUAGCGCCACCACUGGGCCCCAUAGUGCCACCAUUCUGCCCUACAGAGCCACCCCUGUGCCCCAUAGCACUGUCACUGCGCCCCAUAGCACUUUCACUGCGCCUCAUAGAGCCAUCCCUGUGCCCCAUAGCACUGCCACUGCGCCCCAUAGCGCCGCCACUGUGCCCCAUAGAGCCAUCCCUGUGCCCCAUAGCGCUGCCACUGUGCCCCAUAGAGCCAUCCCUGUGCCCCAUAGCGCUGCCGCUGUGCCCCAUAGAGCCAUCCCUGUGCCCCAUAGCGCUGUCCCUGUGCCCCAUAGAGCCAUCCCUGGGCCCCAUAGCGAGACCCCUGUGCCCUAUAGCGCUGUCACUGUGCCCCAUAGCGCUGCCACUGUGCCCCAUAGAGCCACCGCUGUGCCCCAUAGAGCCACCGCUGUGCCCCAUAGCGCUGCCACUGCGCCCCAUAGCACCACCGCUGUGCCCCAUAGCACCACCGCUGUGCCCCAUAGUGCUGUCACUGCGCCCCAUAGUGCUGCCACUGUGCCCCAUAGCGCUGCCACUGUGCCCCAUAGAGCCAUCCCUGUGCCCCAUAGCGCCGUCACUGUGCCCCAUAGCGCCGCCACUGCGCCCCAUAGCGCUGCCACUGUGCCCCAUAGCACCACCGCUGUGCCCCAUAGAGCCAUCCCUGUGCCCCAUAGCGCUGUCUCUGCGCCCCAUAGCACCACCGCUGUGCCCCAUAGCACCACCGCUGUGCCCCAUAGUGCUGUCACUGCGCCCCAUAGUGCUGCCACUGUGCCCCAUAGCGCUGCCACUGUGCCCCAUAGAGCCAUCCCUGUGCCCCAUAGCGCCGUCACUGUGCCCCAUAGCGCCAUCCCUGUGCCCCAUAGAACCACCGCUGUGCCCCAUAGCGCUGCCACUGCGCCCCAUAGCACCACCGCUGUGCCCCAUAGAGCCAUCCCUGUGCCCCAUAGUGCUGUCACUGCGCCCCAUAGUGCUGCCACUGUGCCCCAUAGCGCUGCCACUGUGCCCCAUAGCACCACCGCUGUGCCCCACAGAGCCAUCCCUGUGCCCCAUAGCGCCGUCACUGUGCCCCAUAGCGCUGCCACUGUGCCCCAUAGCACCACCGCUGUGCCCCAUAGAGCCAUCCCUGUGCCCCAUAGCGCUGUCUCUGCGCCCCAUAGCGCCGCCACUGUGCCCCAUAGCGGCUUCCCUGUGCCCCAUAGAACCACCGCUGUGCCCCAUAGCGCUGCCACUGUGCCCCAUAGUGCCACCAUUCUGUCCCACAGCGCCAUCCCUGUGCCCCAUAGCGCAGCCACUGUGGCCCAUAGCGCCAUCCCUGUGCCCCAUAGCGCUGCCACUGUGCCCCACAGAACCACUGCUGUGCCCCACAGAGCCAUCCCUGUGCCCCAUAGAGCCAUCCCUGUGCCCCAUAGCGCUGUCACUGUGCCCCAUAGAACCACCGCUGUGCCCCAUAGAGCCAUCCCUGGGCCCCACAGUGCCAUCCUUCUGCCCCACAGAGCCACCCCUGUGCCCCAUAGCGCUGUCACUGCGCCCCAUAGUGCUGCCACUGUGCCCCAUAGCGCUGCCACUGUGCCCCAUAGCACCACCGCUGUGCCCCACAGAGCCAUCCCUGUGCCCCAUAGCGCCGUCACUGUGCCCCAUAGCGCUGCCACUGUGCCCCAUAGCACCACCGCUGUGCCCCAUAGAGCCAUCCCUGUGCCCCAUAGCGCUGUCUCUGCGCCCCAUAGCGCCGCCACUGUGCCCCAUAGCGGCUUCCCUGUGCCCCAUAGAACCACCGCUGUGCCCCAUAGCGCUGCCACUGUGCCCCAUAGUGCCACCAUUCUGUCCCACAGCGCCAUCCCUGUGCCCCAUAGCGCAGCCACUGUGGCCCAUAGCGCCAUCCCUGUGCCCCAUAGCGCUGCCACUGUGCCCCACAGAACCACUGCUGUGCCCCACAGAGCCAUCCCUGUGCCCCAUAGAGCCAUCCCUGUGCCCCAUAGCGCUGUCACUGUGCCCCAUAGAACCACCGCUGUGCCCCAUAGAGCCAUCCCUGGGCCCCACAGUGCCAUCCUUCUGCCCCACAGAGCCACCCCUGUGCCCCAUAGCGCUGUCACUGCGCCCCAUAGUGCUGCCACUGUGCCCCAUAGCGCUGCCACUGUGCCCCACAGCGCCAUCCCUGUGCCCCACAGCGCUGUGCCCCACAGCAUCACACCCCACAGCGCUGUCCAUGUGCCCCAUAGCGCUGUCCAUGUGCCCCACAGCGCUGUGCCCCACAGCGCUGUGCCCCACAGCAUCACCCCCCA